Molecule: long non-coding RNA, 224 nt
Organism: Triticum dicoccoides
Lineage: Eukaryota; Viridiplantae; Streptophyta; Magnoliopsida; Poales; Poaceae
Exons: 3
Source: RefSeq, a predicted model, not a curated record
CCCCCUUCCUGCCCCGCAGCUGCUGGUGAGGUGGCCGUGGCCGCGGCUCCGGCGGUCCGGCGCCCCCUUGCCGGCCCUCUGCUACUGGCUUUCUGGUGUUGCAUAUCUUUGGAGUCAUCGUCAUCGAAGGCAUUGGUCUAUGAUUUCGUUGCUGUUUGACUACUUCGUUUACAGUCGAGGAGAUCCUGUGACCUUGCGGCUCGCUACACUGAGCUGGAAAACAA